Coccinella septempunctata (seven-spotted ladybird) is the source of this 1259-nucleotide long non-coding RNA. RefSeq lists it as uncharacterized. The record is from RefSeq and is a predicted model, not a curated record. The transcript has 2 exons. Lineage: Eukaryota; Metazoa; Arthropoda; Insecta; Coleoptera; Coccinellidae.
UAUUGCGUAGUUAUAAUUGCUUCUUGUUAUAAUCUCUUUAUUUUCAAUAUAACUUUUUUCCGCAUUCUUUGCUUUUAUUUACACUUAUUUUUUAUUUUCUUUUGGCUUAUUUGGAUGCAUAUCUUGUUUUUUUAUACUUCUGUAGAAGGUUUUUAGGAAGAGAGCUAUUUUAUCUUUGCACGUUUAUAAUUAUCCUCUUAAAUGCUCGGGACAAUUUCGAAGAAAUUUUGGGAGUGGAUCAGAAGCCCCAAAUUGUUUAGAUUCACGAGUCUGGUAGGUGGCAUUGCAGCUGAGUAGUAUAAUUUUUUUAACGCAGCUUCCUAGUUUAAUGUUUCUUGAAACUGUGAGUUAGAGUCUACAUUCACUCACUCAUUCUCAAGAAACAGGACCAGAGUUUUUCACCAAGAAUAAUCCUUUGAAUUUCAGGAAAUAUUCAAGCAGGUAAAUUAUACCCUUUAUUACUCCAAGAUUUUCACAUGAGCAUGAAAUUUUCAAUUCAAGUACGAUUAAAACCUAAAGAUUACAUUUCGAGUACUGCAUUGAUAAAGAAAAUAAUGAGAAUUUAUCGUUUUCGUUUUUAAUUCGAUUCAUAUUCGAAGCAGAAUCACGAUAUAGAAGAUAACAUUAAAUUUAUCCCCUGAUUAUUGUGAAUAAUCUUAACCUUCACUAAUAAUCAAUAAUUAUCUUAUCUCAAUUCAAUUAUUGUCGAUCUAAUAUUUGGAACAAAUGCUCUUUGAUCAAUUUUUCAUACAUUAGCUGCUGUGUAUAGGUGAGUAUCCACAAUUUAUAUUUCACUAAUUUUUGAUGAUUUUUCAGGAUAAUAUCCGUACCUACAUAAAAAUAUCCAUCAUGAUGAAUACAAAAUUGUCUUGAGAAACCUAAAACAAGGAAUCCAGUAACAAUCUGCAAGGGUGAUGUAGAAAUUACUAAAGAACGAUAAUUUCAGAAGAUGUAAUAGAUAUUGUGGAGGAAAAUCGAGAACAGGACUCCUUUCAACGUUUUCUAUCUAUCUAGUCUAGAAGUACCGAAACAGCCAACAUCAAGCAAUUUGGAACACCCUGUACAGAAGGUAUUGUAUGGUUGCCCUAAGUCUAAAAACCUGACUGGGAGCAAAUUUUUUGGCCAACUCGUCUACCUUGCAGCUGAACAUGUUGACAUGUGAGCUGUCAAUAUAAUAGGUACUCCACCUCAACCUGCAGAAACUUUGGUAUUAAGCAUUCUGUAGUAAUGAAGAAUUUAAAUACAAUAAUUUUUUUUUU